Molecule: long non-coding RNA, 259 nt
Filed under: Mytilus galloprovincialis (Mediterranean mussel)
Lineage: Eukaryota; Metazoa; Mollusca; Bivalvia; Mytilida; Mytilidae
Source: RNAcentral
CGUGUUUCUGCUAAAUUAAAAAUUUGCACCGCUUCAAACAUUAAAUAAAUGUAUCUACUUAUAUAUAGACCAUUAUUAGUCUAAUAAAAUAUGCUUCUAGGACAAUCGGAUCCAUCAUUGCUUUUUCUUUUGAGAGCCUUAUUAACAUGCCAAUGCCGUGUAGGAUAUGAAUCUUGUUUAAAUGACUAAGACCGACUAAGGCUAAUUUGAGGGGUGGUCGGAGGGGUCCAGAGUCCGAAAUCCCGGUCUUAAAAACAUG